This is a small nucleolar RNA of Dicentrarchus labrax (European seabass), 208 nucleotides long. The record is from Ensembl. Lineage: Eukaryota; Metazoa; Chordata; Actinopteri; Moronidae.
AAGACUAUACUUUCAGGGAUCACUUCUUUAGUUCUUGACUUGAGAAAUGUGUUUCUAAAGAGUUCGGUCUCGCUGCCCACGAUGAAGAGUUCAGAUGUUUCCUUCAGAGCAGGAAAGUGGUGGGAAGACUUUGUUUCUUCUCCACUGUUGAAGAUUGUUCAGUGUUUUUGAGUGAGACUCUGAUGGAGGAAACAUGAUCUGAGUGGAU